GACUAAAGUCUCCACGCCAUGUCAGGAUGCUAAGCUAAAGCUAGCUGUGAACUCUCUGCACUAAGCCACUCAAACGACGUGUUACGGAGUAUUCCGAUCAUAAAAUACGGAGCUAAAGUGUUAUAUUAGACAGCCACGUGAUGUAUAAGGACUUUUGAGGCGCUGUGACGUCAGCAGGACGCCUCUCUAUGGAGAAUCCUGCAGAGCAGCAUCACUUCCACCUGACCUGCCCCCAUCGAUGACGGCCAGACGUCAGAGCUCGUGUUUCUCUCUGCUCCAGCGUUAUCGUCCACUCUAGUGGAACUGAAGGG
Molecule: long non-coding RNA, 311 nt
Filed under: Gouania willdenowi (blunt-snouted clingfish)
Lineage: Eukaryota; Metazoa; Chordata; Actinopteri; Blenniiformes; Gobiesocidae
Description: lncRNA (ENSGWIG00000021289.1)
Source: RNAcentral